Long non-coding RNA from Ornithodoros turicata, 664 nucleotides. RefSeq lists it as uncharacterized. The transcript is spliced from 3 exons. Lineage: Eukaryota; Metazoa; Arthropoda; Arachnida; Ixodida; Argasidae. The record is from RefSeq and is a predicted model, not a curated record.
UGUUGAAAAAACUAUCGUAGAUUGGUUGCGGUAGGUGAUGUUGCACUAAUUCGAAGUUAACUGGUAAAAAUUAAGCAGAAUCGUUUCAAAUGCACGGUUCGUAAACAAAAACGGCGUAACGCUUGACCGGGGGUACGAAAUGCGGCUGUUGUUUUUAGAAGGCGCUAUUGCGAACUUUUGCAUGACAAACGUAAAAAGCACCGUCAAAGUGUGGUCAAAGAGAGUGACAUCGACAUGUGCCACUGGACAAAAUCCAUAUACCAAUCCAAGGGACCGAGAGAGCGUGCGGAUGGCCGAACGUCAAUGUGCAUCUUCAAAAACAAAGCAUAAGUAGUGCUGGCGCUUAUUAUGAGCGUCAUCUCCUGUGAUACACACUCAUGCCACAGCAGAACAGACCAAUAAAAAUAUGUUAUUCAGGGCUGCUUCUGCAAAACACACUACACAGCAAUGUGCUAAAGGAGGCUGCAAACCUUUUGGAAUCAUCAUUACUAUUGCAGGUACAUAACCAUGACCAAUCACUGACAGCUUUUCUGCAUUGUAUAAGCACAUAUAUUCUGGAGAUCCUCUCUUGAAAAUUUCUGCUAUGGACUCAUUCAUCACAACAACUUUGUAUUCGUGAGCUUUUUGUUUAUAUUCAGACAAUAAAGGCUAUUACGUAGUUCCA